UCGGGCUGUGCCGCCUGGCGAGCGCCCCGGCCGCCGGCUCCGUGUCCGUGACGCGCAGGAUCUGAGCCAAGCAAGSCUUGGACUGGAAAUCUCCCAUUAACUC
This is a long non-coding RNA of Nothoprocta perdicaria, 103 nucleotides long. RefSeq lists it as uncharacterized. The transcript has 2 exons. NCBI's taxonomy places the organism in Eukaryota, Metazoa, Chordata, Aves, Tinamiformes, Tinamidae. The record is from RefSeq and is a predicted model, not a curated record.